UUACUCCUACCGGGAGGCAGCAGUAGGGAAUCUUCCGCAAUGGGCGAAAGCCUGACGGAGCAACGCCGCGUGAGUGAAGAAGGUUUUCGGAUCGUAAAGCUCUGUUGCCAGGGAAGAACGCUUGGGAGAGUAACUGCUCCCAAGGUGACGGUACCUGAGAAGAAAGCCCCGGCUAACUACGUGCCAGCAGCCGCGGUAAUACGUAGGGGGCAAGCGUUGUCCGGAAUUAUUGGGCGUAAAGCGCGCGCAGGCGGCUGAUUAAGUUCGGUGUUUAAUCCUGGGGCUCAACCCCAGGUCGCACUGGAAACUGGUUGGCUGAGGCAGAAGAGAAACGAUCCCUC
Molecule: ribosomal RNA, 341 nt
Filed under: bacterium
Lineage: Bacteria
Also listed under: 1 other name
Description: bacterial SSU rRNA
Rfam family: Bacterial small subunit ribosomal RNA
Source: RNAcentral